Molecule: ribosomal RNA, 387 nt
Filed under: uncultured bacterium
Lineage: Bacteria
Description: bacterial SSU rRNA
Rfam family: Bacterial small subunit ribosomal RNA
Source: RNAcentral
AGCGAACGCUGGCGGCAGGCUUAACACAUGCAAGUCGAGCGCUCGUAGCAAUACGGGAGCGGCAGACGGGUGAGUAACACGUGGGAACGUACCUUUUGGUUCGGAACAACACAGGGAAACUUGUGCUAAUACCGGAUAAGCCCUUACGGGGAAAGAUUUAUCGCCGAAAGAUCGGCCCGCGUCUAGAUUAGCUAGUUGGUGAGGUAACGGCUCACCAAGGCGACGAUCAGUAGCUGGUCNGAGAGGAUGAUCAGCCACAUUGGGACUGAGACACGGCCAAACUCCUACGGGAGGCAGCAGUGGGGAAUAUUGGACAAUGGGCGCAAGCCUGAUCCAGCCAUGCCGCGUGAGUGAUGAAGGCCUUAGGGUCGUAAAGCUCUUUUGUGC